CCGGCCCGGCCCAAGCCGCGGGGCGAGGAGAAGACGGGCGCCCCCCCGACGCCUCCCUCGCCCCGCCGCCCAGAGGGGCCAGCCAGGUGCCCCGGGGAAGCUGGACCGGAGCGCGACAGCAACACCUGUGCUUCCCAGGUACGCCGGAGGCAAAAUAUAACCCCCCCGUCCAGUAGCCACUGGCUAGUAGCCCUUCUCCUCCUCCUCCGUGGAUUUUUAAAGCUAGUGGCCAUGGCUACAACCUGCUCCUGGUUCCAUCGUUUAACGAUAUGCCACCUGGAUUUCCUCUCCCCGUCCUGUGUUUUCCAACCUUCAACUAACUACAUUGGGUCCCAGUGUUAUGAGAGAGGAAGAAAAAGUCAUUUGUCUGUUUUCUGUACACCGUGCAUAAUUGUAUAUACAGUGGUACCUCGGUUUACGAACUUAAUCCGUUCCGGAAAUCCAUUCUUAAACCAAAGCCGUUCUUAAACCAAGGUGCACUUUCCCUAAUGAGGCCUCCCGCUGCUAGUGCCCUUCCACUGUUCAGAUUCUGUUCAUAAACCGAGGUAAAGUUCGCAAACCAGGACACUGCUUUCAGUUUUGCGGAGUUCAUAAACCGAAUAGUUCUUAAACAGGGCUGUUCUUAAACCGAGGUACCACUGUACCUCUGUCAUGUCCCCUCUCCCUUGCCUUUUCUCUGAAGCCCCAAAUGCCACAAGCCUUUCAAAUGAGGGAGUUGCUCCCUCCCCUUGAUCAUUUUGGUUGCCUUAUUCUGAACCAUUUUCCAGAUCUGCAAUGACCAGAAGUGGACACAGUAUUCCCAGUGUGGCUGCAACAUACUGUAGAUUUGUAUAAAACCAUUCUGAUCAUGCCAGCGUUAUUUUAAUCGUAAAGAUCCCUAGCAUGGAGUUUACUUUUUCACAGCUGUCACCCUCUGAGUCAACAUUUUAAUGCAGCCUUCAACCACAAUACCAGUAUAUCUUUCCUGGCCGUCUCAGAUCCCAUCAAGUGUGUAUGGGAAGUUAAGAGUCGCUUUAUUGCUUGCUUACAUUGAAUCACAUUUGCUAUGGUAGUAUCCAAUAAUCUGGUCUGGAGAGAUCCUUUUGGAGCAACUUGCAAACCUGUUUUGCUUUGACCACCCUAAACAAUUUGGUAGCAACAGCAAACGUGGCUACUUCACUGCUCAUUCCUCAUGGGCGUAGCGGGGGGGACAGCUGCUGACCAAUAACUGACCAAUCACAUUGCAGAUAGCUCAGAUCUGCCCUCACUAACAUAAAACCUACCCCCCCAACAUAAAUCCUGGCUAUGCCCAUGUCACCCCUAACUCCAAGUCACUUAAAGGUAAAGGGAACCCUGACCAUUAGGUCCAGUCGUGACCGACUCUGGGGUUGCGCGCUCAUCUCGCUCUAUAGGCCGAAGGAGCCGGGGUUUGUCCGCAGACAGCUUCCGGGUCAUGUGGCCAGCAUGACCAAGCCGCUUCUGGCGAACCAGAGCAGCACACGGAAACACCGUUUACCUUCCCGCAGGAGUGGUCCCUAUUUAUCUACUUGCACUUUGACAUGCUUUCAAACUGCCAGGUUGGCAGGAGCAGGAACCGAGCAACGGGAGCUCACCCCGUCCCGGGGAUUUGAACCGCCGACCUUCUGAUCGGCAAGUCCUAGGCUCUGUGGUUUAACCCACAGCGCCACCUGCUUCCCUAGUCACUUAGUCCAAGUCACUUAGACUAAGACUAGUCCAAGUCACUUAGGAACCAGUAAAAAAUCACCAGCCCCAAUACAACUCAUUGGAGAACCCCAUUUUUGAAAAUGUAAGUAGCUUGUAUUGGCUUGAAAAAGGGGUUCUGUCUCCCCUCUCUUUUAUGACACAUUGAUAUCGGAAAGCCUGGUGGAGUUGGGGUGUGUGUGUGUGUGUGUGAAACAGACAUUACUUUUUUAAGGUAAAAAUUGAAGUGCCAGUACUCUUACUUGAUGCAAGCAUAGAAGGUGCCAGCACAAAAUGGCUGCUAUGAGCAGCAAAAGAAAGAGGUGUUAGUACUAUGCUCCAGCAUGAGUUGCUGUUGUUGGCAUCGGUCUGUCUUGAGAGACAAGGGAGGAGUGCACUCUUGGGGGUGAAGUCAAGCUCUGGAGAAUUGCAGCGCCUGCUGUGGCUGUGGAGACCAAUAUGGGAGACACAUGUUUUAUUGCAGCUGGGGCAGAUGAAGGCAUCCAGUGACAUUGGGGACAUGGAAAGGAACAGUGGUGCAGGGGGCCACUAGGGGGCGCAUUGGAAGAUGGCCGACAAUACCAUCUCUCCGACCCACACGGGGUAAUUAAGAGGCUGUUAUGGGAGUAGGCAGCCUCCCUUGUUGCCCCAAGGAAAUGGGGAACACUGCCCUUGCCUGCUGUGCCCAUAAAUUCGAAAGAAGGGGGUGAGGGCCCUAGGCAGAAUGCCCCCGUGUGGACCUCGGCUCUCCUGGACGCUGUCUCUGAUCGCGCACUAGCUGCAGCAAUUUGGAAUAAUUAAUUACAAAAGAAGCAAAUGCACAUAUUUCAAGUGAAGAAGGGGAGUGAAGUCUGCUAAUUUAAGUGACCUCUGCGAAAGAAGACGACGGGCUGGAGAAACAGGAAUAUUUUACGAUGAAGAUACACCAAAGGCGGGGUAUGUUGACAACGGGGCUGAAUGGGGGGGAACCUUUUUUUACUUUCCUUCUAUGUGAUUUACAAGAACCCCUCCUCAUUAGAACCGUCGGUUGAACUGACCCAAGCAGGAUGAUUAAGGUCUGUGUGGAGAUAAACUUUAACCAAAAGUAUGCUUUAUGGAGACCGAGAAGCAAUAAGAGCUUUUGGGAAUGGCGCAGCAAUUAAUUCGGAGUUGCCAUCUUGCCAAAGGAUUUAUAGCCGGGAGGAAGAACGGACUUGUUUUCAGACUGCAUUCCUAGUGAAUCUCCUCAGAGGUUUUGAGAAGGGAGGCAGAUUGGUGAAGAUUAAUGACGCUAAGACUGUUUUGAUGUAUAGAAGUGAUAUUAUAUGGAAAACGUCUGGAUAUGGCUACUGGAUAAAAAUAAUAAUAUCCACGCAGGAUUACAAACUGUUCUAACCAGCUUGCGGAGACUAUCAGAGGUCACAAAGAGAAAGGAAAAAUAUAUGAAAAUAACAACAAGAGAUGUGGAAAAAUAAUAAGAAAGGACUGGAUAGUACUGUGAACAUCAUAAGGUUAGAUUUGUGGACAUUAAAACGGCAGUAAGAAGCAAGAAGUUGAUUGGAUCCCUUCGGAACUUGAAAUAUGGGUACCCCCAACAAAAAUUUAAAAUUCGGCUGUGUAAUUUGGAAUUUAGGUAAUUUGGUUUGAUUUGAUGUGAUUGGUCGGUUAAUAAAAAAUUAUUCUUUGGAAAGGAACAGUGGUGCAGCUUGGCGGCUCCAUGCAAAUACUGAGGUAACAAACACUUAGAUUGACACCCAGACUCAGAAAGCCAGUUGCUGUUUUAGAGGGUGCCUUUGGGUAAAAGGCCUUUGGGUAAGAGUCCCACUGUCAUUGAUAACUAGGAGUAAAUGUGCAGACAUAUACAUGUGCACACACUCGCACAUGGCCAGACACUAAUAAAUGCUGCCUCGCCUCCUGUCUACGUUGUUUAAGCGCAAGCAAUUAUUGCCAAGCCAUGGUAUUUUGGAGCUGCUCCUGGAUAGCAGGAUGAUGGGACAGAUUUCCUUGGCAGGUGGUGAGCUUUCCUUUGCUGGAGAUACUCAAGCAGAGGCGAUCUGACAGGGGUUGGAAAGGUUUACCUCGCCUGGGCCAGUUCACUCCAGCAGAGAUCCCUCUGUGGGCCAGAUUGAGCAUGCACAUGAGCGCUCACGCCUGCGAUUUCCAGCAUCUGCGCAGAUGCAAUUUCUGGUGUUUGCGCAGACAUGAUUUUCAGCAUCUGCGCAUGCACAGAUGCGAUUUCCAGCACCGAGGUAGUGAGUCCCCACACCGCGCUGUGCUGGUUAAGCGCAUUGCACAGGGACUCACCAAGCGGGCGGCUCUGUUCGGGGGCAGCUCGUGGGCCGGUUAAAUGGCCCCCGUGGGCCGCUUGUGGCCCAUGGACCUUAGGUUGCCUACCCCUGGGUAAGAGAGCUAUCUGUUAGAGAUGCUGUGGUUGUAUCCUGCAUUGUAGAUCUUGUUCUUAGCAAAGAGUUGGGGUAGAUGACCUCCAGCGUGCCACUCAUCCCUGUGGUUUUAUGAGAGCAAGCAGGUGAUCCUGCUAUUAGGGAUUUCUUUGAUUUUACAUAGAAUGCAGCCUUAUCUUAUCUUACCUUUGUUCUCCCGUUGUUUACUCUUUAAAGUUGCCCAGUCUCCUGAGAUGGCAGACACCCAGAGGACCUUCUCUGGUCACCUGCAAGGGACUGAUUCUGCAUGGGAGCAAGCUAAUCUGUGGUCUUUUUUAGUUGUGGUAUUCAGCAUCGUUCGUCUCCCCCCCCCCCGCCCCGGCUUCCCUAAAUGGCCUGAGGCCAGCGAGGCAACUCAACGCACACCCUUUCCCGAGGAAGCUUGGAGGUCAUCUUGACUUACGACAUUGUACUCCCCAAGUGGCACGCCAGUGGAAAUUAGGUUGACGGCUAUGGAGAGAGUUUUCUCUCUGUGGGGGGAAGUAUCCUCUCCCCACAGAAGCUUGCCUGACAUGCUUUGAGCUGCAUAUACACCAUACAUUUAAAGCACAUUUUCCUCCACCCCCAUAAAAAAAGAAUCCCAGGAAUUGUAGUUUGUUAAGCAUGCUGGGAACUGUAGCUCUGGGAGGGUCAAACUGCAGUCCCUGGGAUUCUUUUAUUGGGUGGGGAAUGUGCUUUAAAUGUAUUCAGGGUAAGCUAGUUUCAGUGAAAUUUUAUUGCUGAUUCAAAUCAACAAUAGAAGCCACUGCAGUACCUUGUCAUGGACUGAAAAGCAAAGAGACAUUUAAAAAUGGAAAGCGUAAUGCUGGUGGUCAACAAAAGAGGUUUAAAGACUGUCUCAAGGCAAAUCUUUAAAAAAGUAGAAUAAACACCAACAAUUGGGAAACACUUGCCUGCGAGUGCUCCAAUUGGGGAACAGCCUUUACCAAAGGUGUCAUGGGCUUUGAAGACACUCGAACUCAGAACACAAGGGAGAAAUGUGCUAAGAGGAAGGCACCGUGAUCAACUUCUUCCCGGAAACCAAUGUCCCCAAUGUGAAAGGAUGUGUGAAUCCAGAAUUGGCCUCCAAAGUCACUUACAGACUCAUUGUUAAAACCGUGUUUAUGGAAGACAAUCUUACUUGGCUACGAGUGAUCGCAGAAGAAGAAGAAGAAGAAGGAGGAGGAGGAGGAGGAGGAAGAAAGAAGAAGAAGGAGGAGGAGGAGGAGGAGGAAGAAGAAGAAGAAGAAGAAGAAGAAGAAGAAGAAGAAGAAGAAGAAGAAGAAGAAGAAGAAGAAGGAGGAGGAGGAGGUAUGAAUGCCACAGUCCUUGUGGAUAAGGCUUCCAGGGUUGUUUCCCCUGCCAGCCUUCUAUCACACCCCCAGUCUCACUUUCAACAUGCCCCCCCCCCAUGCAGAGCCUCCCACAGUGCAGGCAGCUAUAUAGUGGCGCAGCAUGUUGGGGGCACAGUACUUUCAUUAGGCCAGCCAAAAGGCCUCAGAGUAGCAAGCCAAGCUUUCAAGUUCCCUAGGACACUUCAUCAGGCUGGAUGUUAAACAAAGCAGAGAGGACAGAAGUUGACUGAUGGUGAAGCCAUGGAUGGAGUCACAGUCUUAAGAUGGAAUGCAGGAGAAAGGAGCAGACUUAUUUUGUUUAGGCUCUACUAAAUGCUAUGCAGGUUUCAGAUUGCAUCUGGCACUGCUAAGAAACCUGAAUUGUUGACCUUUGAAAUACGAAAUCAGGCUGUUGCUAGGAUCUGUCUCCACUUUUUGGUGAAAGACACAACUUCCUUGGUAGCUGGAAAAAUUUACACACACACACACACACACAGUCAAUUGGUCAAUUCAGCUUCCAUUGUUUUCCCCUUUCGUGUUAGGGCUUGCCAGCACUGGAGCUAAAUGUGGAUUCCUCCUGGCCUGUCUUCCCUUUGAUGCACAUUUUGUCACCCUAGGUGCAUCCCAGUGUUGUCCCGGACCUUUCCCUGGGAAAACUAUGGGGCUUCUGGAGGCAUGGAUUCAUGGAAAGUGUGAAUCAGAAAAACCCUGCAUUUAAAGGGCUCACCUGUUGUUUAAUGUAGAUAAUAAGCUUCCUGUGUUUCCAUUAAUUCUCUGUUGUCCAUAUGAUGUUCUCCUCCACAUCAUGGCCUUCCCCACUCCUCUCCUUGUUGGAAAAAGUGGGAAAUGUCCUAGCCAACAUCGGGAUAGGCACAGUUUGUUCUGGUGUGGAUAAAACCUUUGUGUUUCCCACCAAAAACAACCAGGAGCCUUGUAACACUUUAAAGACGAAGGGCCUGUCCAUACCUUAUCUUAAUAUGGAUUGUGAACCCCUAUGCUUCCUUUAAUUCCCUCUUGUCCAUGUGGCGUUCUCUUGCAAAAGAUUUUGCAGUCAAACUCAACAAUGCAUGUCUAUGCUCGUUAGGAAAUGAAGGAGUACAGAGCUGUAAAUUGCUAGAGAAAGCAUGGCUCAGUCAUACACCCUCACCUUCAGGGAGGGAGGAAGUAAGUAAGGCCCUUUUCCCAUUCUUUUCUCUCUCUCUCUUCUCUUUGAAUCAUCUAACAGAACAGACAUUUGAAGCUGGGGCUCCAGACUCAUACUAUGUAUUUGAGACUAACUUUUGUAUUUUGUAACUAAGAAUACCUUACCUGUGUUGUUUCUGCUGCAGCACUGAACGAUGCAUGAGUGAGACCUCUAAUUACUGUAAGUAAGGCAUUUAAACUUACUUGAGGGUUGUAGUCUAUUCACUGUGAGAGGGAUAGACAUGGGGGAGCACAAUCGUGAGCACUUAAUAAUGGAACAUUUAAAAGUCUAACAACCUCUAUUUCCUAUGCUUUGCAAACGCUGCACAUAUUCUUGCAUUGCAGGGGUUUGGACUAGAUGUCCCUUAUCGUUCCUUCCAAAUGUAUAAUUCUAUGAUUCUCUUAUUUCUGUUUUAAACUUUGCUGGAGGUUCUUUUGACUGGAGAGUGAGUCAAGAUUUUUUAAUUCAGCCAGUCGCCUUUUCUUUCUUUCUUUCUUUCUUUCUUUCUUUCUUUCUUUCUUUCUUUUUGCAGUGUCCCACACACGUGGGACUUCAGGAUUAACUGGUAUCGCCCAGUUAUUUCCCAGCACCUCUAACUACCGCUAUCCCACAUUUCUUUCUCCCAAAAUCUGGAGAUUCCUAAUGCAUUUGGUAUAUCUCUCUAAUUCAGAUUUUCAAGGUGUAGGGAAUAUCCCGAUUUAGGAAAGAGAAAGUGUGGGAGAGUGGUGGUUGGUGGAUGAGGGGGGUUUAAACGAGGCACCAAGGGAUUUACAAUCCACAUUAAGCCAAGGUAGGGACAGGCCCUAAAAGAUUUAUCAACUUUCAUGCAUCAGAUGAAGCAUACUGCAGAAAGUCAAUGCCGUGAUAAACCUGUUCGUCUUUAAGGUGACUCAAAACUUUGUUGCAUUUACUUUGCAUGCGUGAGAAGAUCCUGAGAGUUUCGGUUCCAGUCUUGCACCUGUCCCUGCUUAUCUAUGGUCGUGAAGCAGAAGAUUGGUCCGCCAGGGUUCCACAUUCAAACACAUACAUCACACCUCCCCCCCUGCCCCCGCCGAAUGAAACACCACCAAGGAUCAGUUUCACUGAGACCAACGUACUGCACAGCAGAAGUUGUUUACUAUGCAAUUACCCUCUUUAGCAAAACUUUCCACUUCUGGAGCCGAAAUGGAAAGUGCCAUCGAGGGAACGUGAACAGGGAGGAAGACAUUUACUUCUCUUCCUAAAACCGUGGAGGCAGUUUCCCACAGCAACCCACUGGGAACUCAGUCACAGCCAGGCACACAUAUCGGGGGCCCAGUGCCCAGGCUUGUUACAGAUGCAAAGGUCAGAGUAGGGCAGCUCUCACUGGAUUUGUGAGGGUUUUCUGAGUACAGAUGCAAAAUCAGGCAAGGUGAGAUCUUCUGCUUGAGCAGCUGGUGUUCGAAAGCCAUACAACAGACAACAUACAAAACAAUCUGGCUAAUUUUACCCAACAAAGGUUUUUUUAAAAAAGGUAAAGGACCCCUGGACCGUUAAGUCCAGUCAAAGGCGAAUAUUGGGGUGGGGCGCUCAUCUCGCUUUCAGGCCGAGGGAGCUGGCGUUUGUCCACGGACAGCUUUCCAGGUCAUGUGGCCAGCAUGAGUAAACUUCUUCUGGCGCAAUGGAACACCGUGGCGGAAGCCAGAGCACACGGAAACACAUUUUAUCUUCCCGCUGCAGCGGUACCUCUUUAUCUACUUGCACUGGUGUGCUUUCGAACUGCUAGGUAGGCAGGAGCUGGGACAGAGCAACAGGAGCUCACCCCGUUGCGGGGAUUCGAACUGGCGUCCUUCCGAUCGGCCAGCCCAAGAGGCUCAGUGGUUUAGACCACAGUGCCCCUCACACAUGCAAACAAAUCUAACUUCUGCCAAUUAAACACAACCAUGCCCUGCCCGCCCCCCAAGCUCCCUCACUACCAAGGAAAUAUAAUAAAACAAACAGAAAGACAACCUACCCAAAUGACGCUGACAUAAAAAACCCACAUACUGUACACACUAAGUAUAAAAAUAUAAAUUUACCACUUCCUCCCCCCCCCUUUUCUUCUUAUCCAACUUUAUUCUGUAUACAACACUAAUGUCUCAUAUAUAACUGAUAUAUGGAAAGACUUUACCUGAGAAAAGAGACGAUGCACAUACUUUUGUAAACAAAGAAAAUAUUUAAUAAAAAUUAGUAUACAAAAACGGAAAUGGCACACAGCAUUUCUUCAGACAUAGACAUUGAACAGCAAACAUCAGCAAUGAAAAUUAGGAGACGUCUUAUUUUAAAUUGGGCAUUCUUUCCUGGAGGGACCUAGGGAAAGGUGGAAGGGUGCAUUUGAAUCUCCAGUUCACAUUCAGCAGUGGGGGGGGGGGGAGAGAGAGAGAGAGACUUCUGUCAGGCUGAUUCCCACAGAUACUUGAUUGUGUUUGAUACAGUGCAAAAAUAUUUUCACAGUUUAUUGAGCUUCAUGCCAUACUUUGGGAGACACUUUAACUCGCACAGAUGGAACAUGUCUCAAAUGCUUUGCUCUGUCACAUGAUCUGGCCCUGUCCUGGAGUCACAGUCUUUUGGUCAGAGGUCAUCAGCUGCAUAAAUAUGGUUUUGGACACUUCCUUGACGUUUCCAGAUGUCAAUGUACUAUUGAAUUACGUGCCAGUGCUUUGGAACCUGGCACAGGGACAAUGCAACUGGCUUCUAAGGAUAUCUAAGGUGGUUAAAGCUAUAACGCUUCGAUAUUGGAAGGGAAGGACAGGUCUACCCCACCCCCACUCUUCUUUAAGAUGUGUGCAUUUCUAACUUCAGACUUUUUGUUCAGACCAAUAUUGUUAAGUUGUGGGUGAACAUAUCAGACGACACAGCAAUUCUUCAAACAGCUCUUGUUUAUUCACAGGCCAGAACUGAACUGAACUGAAGGGUUCAGCCAGCCUGCUUAUAUAGAGCUCCAGUACAACGUAACUGUAACAACUUUCUGUAUCUAUCCAAUCACUGAAUGUCUGAACUCCCCGGAAAAAAGGCGGAGAGUCUAUAAUUUACUCAAAAAAGAACAAUUGGACUUGAUUUGUCUGCAAGAAACACAUGUGAUAAGGCUACAUAGGAAGAUAUUGAGUAAUAAAAGAUUGGGCCAAGAAUUUAUUUCAUCAGACAAAGUUAAAAAAAGAGGAGUAGUCCUUUAUGCAAAAGAGAGCCUUUCACCGAAAUUUAUAUUUAAAGAUGACCAAGGAAGAUUUGUUGCAAUUGAAAUUCAAUCACAAGGAGAGAAAUUUUUGAUAGUAGGUAUUUAUGCACCGAAUGAAGGAAAAUCAGAAUUUUUCAAGAAGUUACAUGAGAUCCUGAUGGACUAUAUGGAUUACAAUAUGAUUUUGAUGGGAGAUAUGAAUGGAGUGGUGUCUACAAACAUGGACAAGGCACAGAGACAGAUAGUUACUAAGGAUGGUAGACUACCAAAAACUUUUUUUGAUAUGACUGAAAAUAUGGAUUUAGUUGACAUCUGGAGAACGAAGAACCCCCUGGGAAGAGAGGGAACUUUCUUCUCUGAGGCUAAAAUGACAUGGACAAGAAUUGACCAAAUUUGGGUAACUAGAGGACUGGCUCCGAAGACUAGUAAAGCGGAAAUCUGCCCCAAAACUUGCUCCGACCAUAAUGCUGUGAAGAUGGAAAUGAAACUGACGCCAAUUGGUUCCUUUAGAUGGAGGAUGAAUGAUACUUUGUUUAGGAAUGAAGAAGUGACUAAGAAGGCCCAAAAAACUACUGUGGAAAAAAGAGUAAUUUGGGACGCAAGCAAAGCGGUUAUGAGAGGAUUCCUGAUACAACAGAAUGCAAUUAAGAAGAGAAUUCAAAAUGAGAAAAAAGAUAAAAUCCUGGAAAAAAUAAAGGAAGGAGAGAAGAAACUGAGGGUGAAACCAAAGUCGCAGGAGAUUUUGAAAGAGAUAAAGUUAUAUCAAGUACAAUAUAUGAAAAUGACGAAUCAGGAAAUAGAAUGGAAGAUUAAACAGAUGAGACAAAAGACAUUUGAAUCGGCAAAUAAGUGCGGAAAACUGUUGGCUUGGCAAAUGAAAAAAAGACAAAAACUUAAUACCAUUACGAAUUUGGAAGUGGAAGGAAAGAAUAUACAGAAUCCAGUGGAAAUUAGAAAGUGCUUCCAGAGAUAUUUCAAACAAUUAUAUACACAGGAGACGCAGAAAGAAACAGACAUUGAUAGAUUUUUGAAAACUAAUGGACUUCAAAAAAUCUCUCAGGAAAAUAAGUUAAUGCUGAACUACAAAAUAACGGAGCAGGAAGUAGAAGGGGCCAUUCAGAACAUGCAACUGGGCAAAUCCCCAGGACCGGAUGGAUUGACUUCAAGAUACUACAGAUCUUUGAAAGAAUGGUUAAUACAACCUUUAAAGGAAGUCUGUAAUGAAAUACUGGAAGGGAAAAGGGCACCAGAGUCGUGGAAGGAAGCUUAUAUUAUUACACUUAUACCGAAAACAGAAACUGAAAAGACACAGCUCAAGAACUACCGCCCCAUAUCACUGCUUAAUGUGGAUUAUAAAAUUUUUGCAGAUAUUUCGGCUAAAAGAUUAAAAAAGGUGUUAGCAGAAGAAAUUCAUAAAGAUCAAGCGGGCUUUCUCCCGGGCAGACAUUUGUCUGACAAUACGAGGAACAUAAUUAAUACCUUAGAAAAAUUACAAGUGAAGAUUAAUACUAAAGCAGUUUUGAUAUUUGUGGACGCGGAGAAAGCCUUUGGCAAUAUUUCUUGGAGUUUUAUGAAGAAGAAUUUACAGGGGAUGGGGGUUGGUCAAGGUUUUGGAAAUGGUAUAGGUGCAAUUUAUUCAGAACAAAAGGCUAAAUUAAUUGUGAACAACGUAGUGACGGAAGAAUUUAAGAUUGAGAAAGGAACACGACAAGGUUGCCCAAUCUCUCCAUUGCUUUUUAUUUCGGUCCUGGAGGUCUUGCUAAAUAUAAUUAGAAGGGACCAAUUGGUUAAAGGUAUACAAGUGGGAGCUAAACAGUACAAACUGAAAGCAUUUGCUGAUGAUUUGGUAUUGACUUUACAGGAGCCAGAAUCUAGUACUAAAAGAGUACUGGAAUUGAUUCAAGAAUUUGGUCAGGUAGCAGGCUUUAAGUUGAACAAGAUGAAAACUAAGGUUUUAGAGAAAAAUCUAACUGUGAUUGAGAGAGAUAAGUUUCAGAAGGAGACAGGAUUAACACUGGUUAAGAAAGUGAAAUAUUUAGGGGUUAACAGGACUGCUAAGAACGUGAAUUUAUUUAAGGAUACCUAUGAAAAAUGUUGGACUGAAGUCAAAAAGGACUUAGAAAUAUGGUCAAAUUUGAAGUUAUCACUGUUAGGCCGAAUUGCUGUGAUAAAAAUGAACGUAUUGCCAAGGAUGUUGUUUCUGUUUCAAACAUUGCAAAUUUUGGACAAAAUGGACUGUUUCAAGAAGUGGCAGAGAGAUAUCUCUAGAUUUGUCUGGCAGGGCAAGAAGCCUCGAAUAAAAUUUAAGAUAUUAACUGAUGCUAAAGAAAGAGGUGGAUUUGCCCUGCCAGACCUUAAACUUUAUUAUGAAUCAGCCGCCUUUUGUUGGCUGAGAGAAUGGAUGCUUCUUGAGAACACUGAUGUGUUGGAUUUGGAAGGCUUCAACAAUGUAUUUGGUUGGCAUGCAUAUCUGUGGUAUGACAAGGUUAAAGCACACAAAGCGUUUAGAAAUCAUAUUGUCAGAAAAGCACUGUUUAAUGUCUGGAUAAGAUAUAAGGAUCUGCUAGAAAAGAAAACCCCAAGAUGGCUGUCACCAAUGGAAGCAAAGACUCAGAAAAAACUCAAUAUGGAGGCCAAAUGGCCGAAGUAUUGGGAAAUUUUGGAACAAGAGGGAGACAGAUUAAAACUGCAGAGUUUUGAAAAAUUAAAAAACAGAGUGCGAGACUGGCUCCAUUAUUAUCAAAUAAUGGAGGCAUAUAAUUUGGACAAAAAACUAGGCUUCCAGGUGGAAAAAUCAAAAUUGGAAACAGAAUUGUUAGAUCCCAAAGUUAAGAAUCUGUCAAGAAUGUAUAACUUGCUGUUGAAAUGGAAUACUCAGGAUGAAACGGUGAAAUCUGCUAUGAUUAAAUGGGCACAAGAUGUUGGACAUAACAUUAUGAUGGCUGACUGGGAACAGUUAUGGACCACAGGUAUGAAGUUUACGGCAUGUAAUGCCUUAAAAGAGAAUCUAAUGAAAAUGAUUUACAGGUGGUACAUAACACCAGUCAAGCUUGCAAAAAUCUACCAUUUGCCCGAUAAUAAAUGCUGGAAAUGUAAUGAGACUGAAGCUACAUUCUUUCACCUUUGAUGGACAUGCCCAAGGAUUAAGAAUUUCUGGGAGAUGAUUUAUAAUGAAAUGAAAAAGGUAUUUAAAUAUACCUUUCUGAAGAAACCAGAGGCCUUUCUCCUGGGCAUGGUCGGCCAAUUGGUGCCAAAGAAGGAUAGAAUUUUCUUUAUGUAUGCUACAACAGCAGCAAGAAUACUUAUCGCAAAGCAUUGGAAGACACAAGAUCUACCCACUUUGGAAGAAUGGCAGAUGAAGCUGAUGGACUACAUGGAAUUGGCGGAAAUGACUGGCAGAAUCCGAGACCAGGGAGAAGAGUCGGUGGAAGAAGAUUGGAAAAAAUUUAAAGUAUAUUUACAGAAAUAUUGCAAAAUUAAUGAAUGUUAGAAGGAUGCUGGAAUGAAACUAUAUGGCUUUAGCAGAAAUGUUAUAAAGAAUUAAGUAAAAAUAGAUUGUUAAUGGGCCAAAGUGGAAAAUUUAAGGUUAGAUUGUGUUAAGAUAAAUUAUAGAACAAAAAUUGAGAAAGAUGGAAAGGAUUUGCUGAAAUAGCUAAUUGAACUAGAAUACAAAAAAGGGAGGUGUGAGGAGGUCGAUGAAACAAGUAAAUGAAAGGUAAAGACACGGAAAUAUUAGAUGUGUUUUUAAAUGUCUUUGUUUUGUUGUUGUUGUUUGGUUGUAUUGUUUUUUGUUUUUAUUUUUGAUGUAUUGUAAGGUAUUGUUCUGUUUUGUUCAACUUUUUAUUGUUUCUUUCUUUUUUUUUCUGUAACUUUCAAACCUCUAAUAAAUAUCAUUUUUUAAAAAAAAAUCACUGAACGUCACUUUCAAUCCCUUAUUUGCAUAUGUGGACCUGUGUGAAAACUAUCUACAGUAUCCCCCUGCUGGCCCAAGGUGAGAACUUCAGUGCAUAACAAAUAUCACUCUUCCACUCAUCCAGAACACUGUGGCUUGUGUGUGUCUGUGUGUAUGUAUGAGAGAGACACAAACAGAGAUGGACAGACAGACAGAGUUGGUCCAUCAACCUCAUCUACAGAAAACAGAACUCUGGCUUUCUCUGGGAAUGUUUGCAAAUUGAAAAAAAUGAAGAAAUCUGAGAUUGGUUUUUGUUUUUUUAAUUGGUUCCAAUAUUAUCAGAUUAAUGACUACUUUUAAAAUGAUUUAUUCAAAGGUUUCAUGGAUUGAAGUUAUGACUUUUAAAAGAUUCUGCUUGAAGGAAGAGAAAAAUUCAUUUCAAAAAUGUAUAAAUUGUUAUUAGAAUGGGAGGCAAAAAGAUGAAAUGGUUAAAUCAGUAAUGAUGCAACGGGCUAAGGAUCUAGGACAGACCUUUCCAAAUUGUGUGUUAUGACACAUUAGUGUGUCGGAAAAGUGUGUCACCCACAUGAAAAGUUUGGAAAGCUCUGAUCUAGGCCAUAACAUAGAAACAAAUGUGUAGUAAAGGCUGUGGAAAACAGAUAGGAAAUUUAUGAAAAUUAUAUGAAAAUGAUGUAUAGAUGGUGUUUAACACCUAACAAAUUGUCUAAAAUGUAUAAGAAGGUUCCUAAUAACUGCUGGAAGUGUAAACAAGUAGAUGGAUCUUUUUUUCAUAUAUGGUGGACCUGCAAGAAAGCAAGGGUAUUUUGGGAUAUGAUAUAUAAUGAGAUAAAAAAGAUGUUUAAAGUGAUUACACACCAAAAAAACCACACACCCCGAAGCUUUUCUUUUAGGGAUUGUAGGGACAGAAAUUCCAAGAAAGAUGAUUAAGCUGCUUAUACAGGAUUUUAUAGGAUUACAUAGCUAACAGCUAGGAUGCUCUAUGCACAAAAAUGGAAAGAAGUAGUAGUUACCACCAAAUAAGAAUGGAUAAGUAAAGCAUUGGACUAUGCAGAAUUGGCAAAGCCCCAGAGGCGUAGGAAGGUCAGGUGGUACCCGGUGCGGAAAAUUUCUUGUCACAUCCCCCCCCCACAUUGAUAUUUAUUUAUUUAUUUUGCCUACAAAAAUGGUUAACGUUAUUUCAUAUUUGCUUACAAAGGAAUGUGGAUUCUGAGCCUCUGACAACAAGUAGGCGACUAUGGACAGAUACUUAAAUCUACAGGAUGGAUUGUGUUUUGGCUUG
This is a non-coding RNA of Podarcis lilfordi (Lilford's wall lizard), 14960 nucleotides long. NCBI's taxonomy places the organism in Eukaryota, Metazoa, Chordata, Lepidosauria, Squamata, Lacertidae. The record is from the annotation of a GenBank genome assembly.